GACGAACGCUGGCGGCGUGCUUAACACAUGCAAGUCGAACGGAAAGGCCCUGCUUUUGUGGGGUGCUCGAGUGGCGAACGGGUGAGUAACACGUGAGUAACCUGCCCUUGACUUUGGGAUAUCUUCAGGAAACUGGGGCUCAUACCGGAUAGGAGCUCUUGCUGCAUGGUGGGGGUUGGAAAGUUUCGGCGGUUGGGGAUGGACUCGCGGCUUAUCAGCUUGUUGGUGGGGUAGUGGCUUACCAAGGGUUUGACUGGUAGCCGGCCUGAGAGGGUGGCCGGCCACAAUGGGACUGAGAGACGGCGCAGAAGGGAAUGGGAGGCAACAGUGGGGAACAUGACACAGUGGGCGGAAGCCAGAUGCGGCAACGCCGCGUGCGGGAUGACGGCCUUCGGGUUGUAAACCAAUUUCGCCGGAAAUGAGGCGUGAGUGACGGUAAUGGGUAAAGAAGCACCGGCUAACUACGUG
This 468-nucleotide ribosomal RNA is filed under the name uncultured bacterium. RNAcentral describes it as "partial 16S ribosomal RNA". It matches the Rfam family "Bacterial small subunit ribosomal RNA", at positions 28 to 507 of the family's 1533-position model. The record is from RNAcentral.